Molecule: long non-coding RNA, 5138 nt
Filed under: Citrus x clementina
Lineage: Eukaryota; Viridiplantae; Streptophyta; Magnoliopsida; Sapindales; Rutaceae
Description: Citrus clementina (C. clementina) long non-coding RNA (CCLE_LNC002385)
Source: RNAcentral
UCAUUUAUUAUAAAAUUUUGGGGUUUUUUUUGGAGAUUUAUAGAGUCAAAGGGUAUUAUAAUCAAAAAAGGGGUAUUGGUGUCCUUCUUUGAAAACUUGAGGGUCUUUGUGACAAUUUCCCUAAAUCUUAGAGGUGUAGUUGUCUUUUUUUCUAAAUACUAAAAAAUAAUAAUAAUCACUAGAAACAGUCAAAAUUAACAAAUAAUUAGGCCUAAACCAUUACACUUAUUAGGAUUGCCAGAACAAAUUGCAAGUGUUGGAAAUAAGUGUUCGUCCAAUAGCAGCUCAUUGCCAACCAUUUGAUGGGCAAAUGUAAUGACAUUAAUUUUUUGUGUUUAUUAAGAACAGUCUUUUAUUUAGAUGACUGGAUGGAGUUUUACUAAACCCAGAUUUUUCCUGAAAAUAAGAUGGACGAUUUACAUUUAGAUCAUAAUGUAAAAUUAUAUGAAGCAUUAUGAAGAGUUAGACACCGACUAAAAAUAAUUUUUAGGCUAUAUAUAUCAAUUUGGAUAACGUAUUCUUAACUCAUGACUUAAUUUUUGAAUAUAUCAUUAGUCUAGAGCUUCUAAAAAUAUUGCACUCAAAAGCGUUUAUGUGCUAACAAUAGGCUCACUUGCUUGGUUCAGGCAAAUUUUCUUUGUCAACCGGGCCUAUGAGGUGCAAAUUUUCAGAUAUAAAUUUUCGCUUGCAUUCUGCAACCAACCUUAAUUCAUACAUAUUGAAUAUUAAAUAGUAAUUAUUUAACAAGAUGUUCUUAGGAUUCAUAGCCUAAAGCUACAUUCAUGUUUUAAAAUAAGAAUUUUAUUGUGGGCAUUUUCAUGUAAACGAUUCGGAACUACCUGCCGUAAAAAAGUUUACAUCGUAUAACGUUAGUACGACAAGUCAUGUGACGCCUCAAAAUAAAUUUGACACGUCUUUUAUAUAUUUUUCGCCGAGAUGACAGCUCUUGAUCCUUAUCACUUGGCGCCAAAACCAACUUUUCAUAAACUCCUCCUUCUCCAAUAACACAUAUUCGCACUAAAACCUCCAAUUGUUUGUAAUAUAAACCCACUUCAUUUCAAAGCUAAGCAAAUAUAAAUACUCAUAGCUACCCAUCCUCGUUGUAUGCAUCCCCUGUUAAGCAAAAGGUCUGCUGCAUUAGCAUGGUGAUAGCAUAGAGUUUGAGAACUCUAAAAUUAAGUUGCCUAAAAAGGAUAGCAAUUUGAUCUGAAAUCAUUUAUCCCCUUUUACACGAUUUAAUUUCUCAGUGAUGUAUGUAUAGAGUUUCUGAACUGGAGUAAAAACUUGAAACAUAAUGUACGGUGCAGAAAGAACAAUACAUAAAAGCAACAACAAUUAAACAAAUGUAUGUAUGAUUGCAGUUACAAUCACACAAAUUAAAAGAAAUUUGAUGAGUCAAAUCAGAUACAGCAACGUUCAAAUCACGUGCCAGUUUACGAUAGGAAAAAGGAAAAACUGAUCACAUAAGCAAAUUCACUUUCAUGUCUGUUGAAGCAUAAUAUUAUUACAAUAUUGAACAUUAAUUCUUUCAUUAAAGAAAAAAUCUACAUAAUUCCUAGAUGAAAUUCAAAAUUAACUUUAUUGGCUGACAAAUUAAUAUUGACCAACAAUGAUGGUUAUUAACAACAUAAAAAAUAAAGUUUAGUCUUAUAAAAUCAUUAAUCACCGUUUGCCUCUCCUGUAAACUGGAGUUAUGUUUCUUUUGUGAGGAAAAUUGAACCCUCAAGAACACAGACAAUUCAAACCAAACCCUGUUCCAGCUAUUGCUAAUUUAACCAAAGGAUUUGUUUGACCUUGCAAUUUAAGCAUUUGGCUUUGCCUCUCCUAGUUCUCUUGCUGCUCACAGGAGCAUUUUCAUCUGCAAAAAUAGCCGAGGCUUGUUAAUAACUUGAACUUAAUAAUAAAUUACAAAAAACUUAAUUAAAUUAAAUUGUCCUUAAUAAUAGGUGCUACAUUUUUCUGCUAAGAAUGGGUGCUGAAUUUUUUUUUUUUUUUUUAAGGGUGCAAUAGCCCCCAGCCAAUUGCGAAAUACUCGCACCUUGAUAUAUUCUUGUCAUUACUUUUUACUGUCAACAUUCCUAAUUGAUCUUAACAUUUUACGAAAAAUAUAUGUAUAUACCUGAAUCUUUCUUCUCUGCCAGCAGGAUAAGAUUAUGAAAGUUUAAGUUAAUAAAAAAUUAAACCAUUUGAUCAUUAUUCUUGAAUACCCAUAUUACAUGCAUCUGGCAAUUGUUAUGCAAUUUGCUGCAAAUGAACUAUUCUACGCACUUCAUUUUUACUUUGAGAUGUGCGUGGAUCUAAAUGAGACAGAUCGGUCACUUUUCACUAAGGAUCAUGCCUAACCUUAUAGAUAUUUUUUCUUUCUCCUAAUGGAGGAAAAUUUGUCUCAUCAAAAUGAUAAUUCAUAAAUCGUGCGGUAAAUACAUCACCCUUCAGUGGUUUAAGAUAUCUGAUAAUAGAUGGUGAGUUAAAUCUCACAUAUAUUCCCAAUCGACAUUGGAGUCCCAUUUUCAUUUGUACUUUAAGAUACCGUUUAAUGGUUUUACUCAAUCAUUUUCAAAUAGUUUUAUUUAACUAAUCACUCAAGUUUAAAUAUUGAGACCAAUCGCUUUACCUUUUUAAUAGAUUAAAAAGAAUAUAUUUUUCAACCCAUUUGAAAUUGCUAUUGACUUUUUAUAACCACUGAUUAAUAAAAUAUUGGCACAUGGCAAAAUUUUUUUCUUAAAUUUUUUUCAAAAAACGUGACAAGUGUCAGAGUAUGAUUAGUUGGUGGCUCCAUAUAUGAUUUUGACAUGAAAUCAUUGGUCUACCAUAGAAUUUCUGACUGGCGAUGCUGACCAUAUAUUCAUAAGAGUAAUUAAAUUAUAAUAAUUUGUAAGAUUUAAUUUAAUUAUAUUAAUUUGGAAGAUUUAAUUUUAUAAUAACAAAUUAAAUAAAGAAUAAAUAAUAAAAAGACCAAGUAACUCACCUCAAAGUAAGAACCAAGCUUAGCUUUGAGAGACUUACUUUUUUAAAGUAAUUUUAUAUUUUUGUUUUUCUAAUUUUUAUUAUUAUUAAUACUCUCACAAAAACUAGUCCUAAAAACGUCUGAAAUACAUAACUCCUACAGUACUUGCGGCCUUCACCAAAACUAUAAAUUUCACCUUUUUUCCUAUAAAUGGAACAAUGAGAUGAUGUCUCCUCGAUGACAUGGUAUUUGUGAAGUUGAAUUCGAAAUAAUUUUAAUAAAAGUAAGAUAUUAUUUUUUAAUGAUUAUAUGGAAUAAUAAUCAUUACAAUCACAACUGAAAAAAAAUAAAAAUAUGAGUGAUCACAACAUUUGAUUCCUAACUGUGAGUUCCAACUACUGUUUUAACUGACGAAUUAGAGUUAAAAUAGGCUAUAUCCUCAUCAUUGGUAUUUUUAUUGUCUACGAUCAAAAUGAAUCGUUACAAGGUAAUUAUCAAAAUGUCUUUAGUUAAUUAUUAUCCUCAGUAUUAUUAUUAUUAUCCAUUAUAACAAUAACAAUAACAAUACAAAAAAAUAGUAAUAACAAUAACAACCACAACAACAACAAUAAUAUUUUAAUAGGCACAUAUGCUUUAGAUAAAACAGUUGUUUAAUGUUUUGUAGACAAACAACUAGUUGUACCUAAGAGAAAGAAGUAGACGACAUGUCUUCCUAUACUUUCAUAUAACCGACAUGUGUAAAUAAUAUGUGCUGGUGCAUAUGCUAGUUGACUUGUGGUUUAUUUUUUAAAAUGUAACCGACAUGUCAUAUUUUUCAUAUAUAAGAUAAAGACACGACGUCUACUUAUUUUCUUGACAAACGACACAUCAUCUUUAAUGUUGAAUUCCCAAGGAUUUUAAUAAAAGUAAGAGAUUAUUUGUUUUUCAAUAGUUACUCGAAUAAUAAUCCUUACAAUUGUAAUUGUGAAAAAAAAUAAUAAUAAACAAAAUAUGAGUGAUCACAAUUUUUGAGUUCUAAUUUGGAGUCCCAACUAUGGGUCAUUCAUCUAUUAAAUCAUGAAUUUUAUAAUUCAUAAAUUACAUAUUUAUCAUCUAAUAGAUAUGUUACUCAAUUUUAAGGUAAUUAUAAUAAGAAUUCCUAUUACAACUGCGACUAUUGAUUACAAUUAAAGCCAUGAUUACGAUUAUGUGUAAUAUUUUAUUAAAAUGAUAUAAAAUAUGCUAUUUUAAUUAGUUAACUGGUAAGUACAAAACGCAAACAACCAUUUAACAGAUUUUCAUAUUCAAAUUUAGUGAUUUUUUAAAUUAAAAAGAAACUACAUAAUAUCAUAUGAAAUAGAAAUUAAUGAUUGCCUUCUAUCUAUAAUGUUCAUCAAUUUACAAAUGAACAACAUUAAUUCAUUAAUCAUUAAUCUUGCAUUUAGUCAUAAUCAAAUGGGAAUUUGAUUGAUGGUUGGGCACACUUGAGUUAUUUAAUUUCUUCUACACCUAUUUCAUUUAAAAACAUGUAUUUAUAAGCAAUAUUUUAAAAUUUUAAAAUCUGAAUAUUAACUCAAUUAUGUCAUUCUCUAAUUUACUCUUCAGUUUGUUCCAAGGUUUUUUUUUUAUCUUUUACUUUUUCAUUUCAAAAAUAUCAAAUAAAAAAAAAUAUUUCAAAGUAAAAUAAAUUUUUAUGCUAAAAACGCUUGAAACUUUCAAUUUGUGAUGGCCUAUAUAGUAGAAUAUGUGGAUCUGAAUUUGCCCAUUUAUGAGAGACAAGCAUUAACAUUUGCUUGCAAGUGAACAUUGAAAGAAAAUAUGUUGAGUGGUGAGAAUAUGAGGAAUCGGAAAUCGAAAAUAAAGGUUGAUUAGAUAAUUUCAUUGAAAAAAAUAUUUUGGCAAAAAAAUAAUAAUAACUAAGAAAAGGCUGUUAAAAGAAAAUUGGUGGGUUAUUUGAAAUAUUCCCAUCAAAAUAUGAUAUACAUAAUUUCUUACAAAAGUUAAUUUUAGGAAAAAAAAUUAUAACAUGAUCUAAGUUGUCAAAUUAUUUGUGAUAUUUUUUUGAGAUAAAAAUUUAUGAUGUGUAACACUACUCUUAAUUGAAAAAUGAUUGAUGACAUAUCCAUAGCUAUUUGUUUACUUCAUUUUUAUGAUUAUGUAAUUGUAGAAGAAUUACUUAUCUUCGUAUUUACAUAUGCUUAAAAUUAAAUAA